CCCUUAGAUGUUCUGGGCCGCACGCGCGCUACAAUGGCAGACUCAGCGAGUUACCUCUGCCGAAAGGCACAGGGAAUCUUUACAGUAUCUGCCGUGAUGGGGAUAGACCCUUGUAAUUUUUGGUCUUCAACGAGGAAUUCCUAGUAAACGCAAGUCAUUAACUUGCAUUGAUUACGUCCCUGCCCUUUGUACACACCGCCCGUCGCACCUACCGAUUGAAUGGUCCGGUGAAGUCCUCGGACCCAGUUGAACCUCGAGUUGAACAGGGAAAGUUGACUAAAUCUUACCAUUUAGAGGAAGGUGAAGUCGUAACA
Molecule: ribosomal RNA, 314 nt
Filed under: uncultured eukaryote
Lineage: Eukaryota
Description: partial 18S ribosomal RNA
Rfam family: Eukaryotic small subunit ribosomal RNA
Source: RNAcentral